CACCUACGGGUGGCUGCAGUGGGGAAUUUUGGACAAUGGGCGCAAGCCUGAUCCAGCCAUGCCGCGUGCGGGAAGAAGGCCUUCGGGUUGUAAACCGCUUUUGUCAGGGAAGAAAAGGUUCUGGUUAAUACCUGGGACUCAUGACGGUACCUGAAGAAUAAGCACCGGCUAACUACGUGCCAGCAGCCGCGGUAAUACGUAGGGUGCAAGCGUUAAUCGGAAUUACUGGGCGUAAAGCGUGCGCAGGCGGUUAUGCAAGACAGAUGUGAAAUCCCCGGGCUCAACCUGGGAACUGCAUUUGUGACUGCAUAGCUAGAGUACGGUAGAGGGGGAUGGAAUUCCGCGUGUAGCAGUGAAAUGCGUAGAUAUGCGGAGGGACACCGAUGGCGAAGGCAAUCCCCUGGACCUGUACUGACGCUCAUGCACGAAAGCGUGGGGAGCAAACAGGAUUAGAUACCCUGGUAGUCCACGCCCUAAACGAUGUCAACUGGUUGUUGGGAGGGUUUCUUCUCAGUAACGAAGCUAACGCGUGAAGUGACCG
Molecule: ribosomal RNA, 541 nt
Filed under: uncultured bacterium
Lineage: Bacteria
Description: bacterial SSU rRNA
Rfam family: Bacterial small subunit ribosomal RNA
Source: RNAcentral